GCAACAGGUGCCAUCGCAACUUGGACGGGCCGAUUCCCCUGUGUGAGACUGGUCACUACAGUCUGAUACAUGCUGACUGGGAUCUGGACCAGACCUGAAGCAACAAAAGUUCCUAUUGGACUGUACUGCUGUCAAUUACACAAAUUUGGGCUCCACAAUUACCUCCAAUACUUGUUAUUCAGAGAGGACGCCGACGUUCUGAGUAGCCCCUCUACAUCCUCGUCUUGAGUUUGUCUCCUGGUGGAUCAGACCAUCUGUCCUGAUUUACAGCGAGCAUCUAAGGCCACAUUUGCCCUCCCGUCUCCGUGUUGACAUCUUGAGGACUUGAAUGCAGUACAAAAAUGGCACAGCCUGCAGAAGACUGAGCCAGAGGGUUAUUCAUAUUCGUCACUUCUGCUGUCGGGGAAAAUGUGGGCAGCUCUGCUCAUGUGCGUUGGAGAGGUGAGUUGUGUUUGUGUUUAUCUCUGUGAGAGUGUGCCUCGCUUCUGUUUUGUGUGUCACACAACUGUCAGCCCACUGGGAUGGGCCAAAACUAAAGCUGAUGGGCUCCUGUCCACUGUAGAGAGGCUAACACGCUGGGCAUGAGUGGCGGGUGACGGAGCCAGAGACAAAAGCCCACAGGUGUGUGACAAUGAUAGAGCGCUGCCCUUUGUCUGCAGUCCCAGCAGAGCUGCCUACACACAAACACACACAGACACAGAUAUUUCUGACAAUGAUUGAUGAGUGAUUUUUGUCACUGAACAGACCACGGACAUUUGUGUACUUAACACAAUAUGUCUGAGAAGUUAUUCCUAUUGUUUAAGGCCUUAUCCUGUAUGUGUUUAAAGUAUUUAAACAUAAAACCUUCUUUUGCUGAUGCUUUCAUUUAAAAUGAACAUGCAAUCUCUUACCUAAUUUUCAGUUGAUGCACCCAGUCAUGACCUAGACCAGUUAUCAGUGAACAAUUCAUUUUAUUACUUACUUGAUCUUUUCAGUCUAAUUUUGCCUCAACUGAUUGCACCUUAGUCUAUUAAAACAGGUUUCUCUUAGUUACCAAACUUCAAAUUCUAUCUUAUGUGGCAUGUUUAGUAAGUGUACCAACCCUUUUGGAAACAAUUGAUGUUGACUAAUGUCUUUUUUGUUGUUAUUAUUUGGUAUUAUCUUUUAACAAAAAUAGAUAUUUGCAACACAGUAUGUGUAUAAACAAUAAAUUAAUCUGUUAUCUUCCUGUAUCUGUAAGCAUUUAGCCAAUAGUUAGUGUCGUCUAAUGUGUUACUUAAACCCCACCCAGAAAUAAAAAAAACAAACAACUAGGAAAAUGGUUAGAUUUGAUUGAGUGAGAUACACAGAAGUAACUGACAGACAAAAACUGUUUUUAAAAAAAAUGCAAUGAUCUAGAAAAACAAACGCAGUCUAAGAAGUAUUUCCUCUUCCUGCAUCUACACACAU
Cynoglossus semilaevis (tongue sole) is the source of this 1428-nucleotide long non-coding RNA. RefSeq lists it as uncharacterized. The transcript is spliced from 4 exons. NCBI's taxonomy places the organism in Eukaryota, Metazoa, Chordata, Actinopteri, Pleuronectiformes, Cynoglossidae. The record is from RefSeq and is a predicted model, not a curated record.